Molecule: unclassified non-coding RNA, 282 nt
Filed under: fungal sp.
Lineage: Eukaryota; Fungi
Also listed under: 1 other name
Description: partial contains 5.8S ribosomal RNA, internal transcribed spacer 2, and large subunit ribosomal RNA
Rfam family: 5.8S ribosomal RNA (bases 1-71)
Source: RNAcentral
GUGAGUCAUCGAAUCUUUGAACGCACAUUGCGCCCCCUGGUAUUCCGGGGGGCAUGCCUGUUCGAGCGUCAUUUCACCACUCAAGCCUCGCUUGGUAUUGGGCAUCGCGGUCCGCCGCGUGCCUCAAAUCGACCGGCUGGGUCUUCUGUCCCCUAAGCGUUGUGGAAACUAUUCGCUAAAGGGUGUUCGGGAGGCUACGCCGUAAAACAACCCCAUUUCUAAGGUUGACCUCGGAUCAGGUAGGGAUACCCGCUGAACUUAAGCAUAUCAAUAAGCGGAGGA